AUAGGUGAGUGCGUACACGUAUACAUAAUACUAUUACGGAGAGAAAAAAAAAAAAAAAAAAAAACGUAAUAUAAUAUAAUAAUAAUAUUAUUAUUAUCCGAACGGGCGUAUACCAUAACGUACCAUCGUAUUAUUAUUAUUAUUAUAUACCGUUUGUCCGGUUAAUUUUUUUUUUCUCCCCCGUCCUCCGAAACCGCAGUCGUGGGCGACUCGUUUUUUUUUUCUUUUUUUUUUUUUUAUUGUUACACGUUAUUAUAAGCAUACUUAAUACGAAAUAUUUAAUACGCGCGCGCCGCAAACGUUUACGGGGAAAUUUUGUUUUGUUUUUUUUUUUUUUUUUUAUUGUUUUUCGCACACCUACAAUACGCCGCGGCGCGCGUUAUGAUUGUCAGCUCGCCGCAGAGAG
Molecule: non-coding RNA, 406 nt
Organism: Cinara cedri
Lineage: Eukaryota; Metazoa; Arthropoda; Insecta; Hemiptera; Aphididae
Source: the annotation of a GenBank genome assembly